CAGAAAGAGUGAGCCCCACCCCUUCUUUUGUUUUGAGGUUUCCCAUUAUUUGGACUGCAUGCUGUGAGGCUAGGCAUCAAGGAUCCCACUCUCCUUUCUAUACAAGCCAACUCCUGGAAGAUGGAUGGGUUCUCUGGCUCUAGUAUGAUGGUGGACCUCCUAAUAGCGAGUCCGCAAUGUUUGCUCUAUAGUGUUCUGACCUCCAGGAGAGAGUUGGCCUAUCAGAUUGCAGAGUGUUUGGUCUGAAAGCAUAUGUGGUGGUACGUGGAAUAGAUUUGGCUCAAAAGCGUCAAAUCGUCAGCUAGCGGAUCACCUGGCCAACAUACGGAAGGUUGAGCCACUGUCUGGGAGUAUGAGUGGGCGUUGGCACAAUACCUUACAGCUUAUCCAGAUGCAUCCCAUGCACACAUACACAUGUGUGAAGCAAGAGGAAUCUUUGUAAUGGUUCUAUCCAGCCUCCUUCACAGGCCUUGGAUUGAAGAGGGAGGGAGCAUGGGAUGAGGCUAGGUCCUCUCUAAUAGCUGCAGAACAUGAGAACAAUGUCUCAAGAAAAGCACAAACAAUCCACAGGACCAAACUAUGAACUAGUUAUAAGAACGAACUUAUUUAAUUCAUCACACUAGCAUAGCUAUAGCUAUAUAGUACUUCAGUUCUGUACAACACCAUGCAGAUUUAAAUUGCUUCACUUUAGCCGAUGAUUUACACUUUUCAAUAAUCAUUAUACGUUUUAA
Molecule: long non-coding RNA, 731 nt
Organism: Halichondria panicea
Lineage: Eukaryota; Metazoa; Porifera; Demospongiae; Suberitida; Halichondriidae
Exons: 6
Source: RefSeq, a predicted model, not a curated record